Molecule: ribosomal RNA, 459 nt
Filed under: uncultured bacterium
Lineage: Bacteria
Description: partial 16S ribosomal RNA
Rfam family: Bacterial small subunit ribosomal RNA
Source: RNAcentral
CCUACGGGUGACAGCAGUGAGGAAUAUUGGUCAAUGGGAGAGAGCCUGAACCAGCCAAGCCGCGUGAGGGAAGACGGCCCUAUGGGUUGUAAACCUCUUUUGUCGGAGAACAAAACCCGGGACGUGUCCCGGACUGCGUGUAUCCGAAGAAAAAGCAUCGGCUAACUCCGUGCCAGCAGCCGCGGUAAUACGGAGGAUGCGAGCGUUAUCCGGAUUUAUUGGGUUUAAAGGGUGCGUAGGCGGGUUAUCAAGUCAGCGGUAAAAUCGUGGAGGUCAACUCCAUCCAGCCGUUGAAACUGAUGGUCUUGAGUGGGCGAGAAGUAUGCGGAAUGCGUGGUGUAGCGGUGAAAUGCAUAGAUAUCACGCAGAACUCCGAUUGCGAAGGCAGCAUACCGGCGCCCGACUGACGCUGAGGCACGAAAGCGUGGGUAUCGAACAGGAUUAGAUACCCGUGUAGUC